UGCGUAAAAGACAAAUCAGCACCAGUAACGCUAGCAGAGGAGAAGCAAGAACUAAGUGGAAAUCAAAGCCCAUGGAAAUUUCCCAGCCGUGGCACAACUUGGAGGAAAACAGGAAGUAAAGUAAAGAUUUAUCUUAAACAGAUGAGGAACAAAUGUGCGCUUACGUAAGAUGAAUGCAACUGUGAUCUGGUCUCGUGGAGAGGAGAGCAAGUCAUGCUUACCAACGGGAAAAACAAAACUGCUCUGAUAGUGAAUGCAUUCAGGAAUAAAUAUGAUCCGUAAGGCAUGAAGAGAAUCUUUGAUCAGUAUAAAACAUAAAGAGUUUGAUCAACUAGGAGAAUUUUCUUCAGCAGUUCAGAAUAUCACUUCAAGCUCUGCCUACCAAGCAUAUCCUUAAUACUUCCUCGGAGCUCUUCUGCACUCAGCACUCCGUGUGAUGGAGCCGGUGGUGAGCACAGGAUCGCGCACGGCUCAGACAGCGCCUGCCGCUGCCUCCUGCUCGCCCGGCGCGCUCCCGGCUCCCGGCACUCAGCCUCUCUCCAUCCACCCACAGCAGCGACUGCGUUGGGAGAAAUCUCGUGAAUCCACCAAAAGUAAAAGUCGGUUUGGCCGCAGGCUGUGGUAGAGCCCAGGUUUGCAUGUCCUUGGUGUACCCGAUGCUCCCUCUACCCAAACACCAGCAACACGCAAAGCACUGCAACUGCUCCAAGCAAAAAGUAAUUACUUUUCUUACUUGCCUUUCUGUAACUAGAAAAAAGGUUCAAACCCUGGCUUGCAAUGUGUCUCCUGCCCCUUGCAGAGAAACACACACCAACACAGCAAAGCUCAGACAAGUUUUAUGAGCUCUUGUGUCCUGGAGCCGCCAUCCGAGCUGUGUCCCGCAGCAAAUGGAGCAAAGGACCGUGGGCAGCAUGUCUGGGCCACAGAGCCCCAACAUUUUCUUCUACCCCUAAGAGGAAGAAGCUGUGUGAACUGAAUAGUGACAAAAAUAGAAAUACAACAUAGCGUUUGUUCUCCACUUUCCUCCUGUUUGGUACAGGCUCCCUUCUGUACAGAGUUCAAGAUCUGAAUUUCUCGUCUCACUCUCUCUCUAACACUGUAUGAUACGGCUAAAACGUAGUACAGUCAGACCUGCCUAUUCACCACGCAACAAGGCCAUCAUUUUACCAUUUUACCUUAAACAAAAGGAUGCUCAGGCUCCAACCAUGAAAGAGAAAAUUAAUUUCUCUGUUUUCUGUCAUGGGUGAGCUAUGUAUCUGCAACUGUGUGGGAGGCUUCCACUUCCCCGAGGGCCCCAAAGGACUAACCAAGCUAACUUUGGCAUAGUCUCUCCAACCUCCCAACCAAACAUGCAGAAGCCAAAUAAUUUUGGCUUUUUAUUUCAGUUUGUCACUGGAGAGCUACCAGUUACUGCAUUACACUGAGCUAAGUACCCAAGAUUUUGCAGAGAAACAAUUGUUGUCAAAAAUCAUUAGCAGGACAGAGCCUAUAUUGUGUAUAAGGAUGGACUGAUACAUAAAAGAGCACAAAAUUCUCAUUUGUACAGAGGUCACUGCACCAUCCAGCCUUUCUCCCCUACAGACCUCAAAACUCCAGAUACUCUUCUCAUGUUUGAUACAAAAUGAGAAGCUGAGGGUCAGACAAGCAAAGCAAAGAGUCUUGUGCAAGACCCUCCUGCAGAAACCAGAUCCUCCAAGUGCCAGCAGACGACUAGGUCCAUCACGCUUCGCUUCAGCCCCUUGUUGGUGUCCCACACAAAGCUCAUGUAGGAGGUGGUGGUGCCUCAUCCUCGUGUCAGCCAGAGGUGAAUAUUCCCUUAGAGGACUGCAAGUUUUGCUCUUCAAGCUUGUUUCAACACCAAAUCCAGAGAAUCUUCCAUAAUUAUGCCAGCGAGGAUAGCAGGCAUGCGGUUACUGCAAGAUAAUCGCUCCCCAAGGCUAAGUGUUUCUAAUUCCUCGGAGGUGUGAUUUCCCAAUAAAGCACACACACCCUUGAACUUGCUUUACUGCCACUAUUAACAUUCUUUAAUGUGUGGCAAAGGGUGAUGUGCCUCUCUGAGCUGGAAAGAAGAUGUAAUUGCCUGUUUCAGACUACUCUGUGGUUACAGAAGAAAUGGGAAUUGCUUUGAUAUGGUGUGGUGUUUCAUUGCUCUAAUAAAGCAAACUCUUCCACCUCCCUUA
Molecule: long non-coding RNA, 2180 nt
Organism: Dromaius novaehollandiae (emu)
Lineage: Eukaryota; Metazoa; Chordata; Aves; Casuariiformes; Dromaiidae
Exons: 3
Source: RefSeq, a predicted model, not a curated record